RNAcentral lists this ribosomal RNA (484 nucleotides) under uncultured bacterium. Its description in RNAcentral is "bacterial SSU rRNA". It matches the Rfam family "Bacterial small subunit ribosomal RNA", at positions 28 to 507 of the family's 1533-position model. The record is from RNAcentral.
GACGAACGCUGGCGGCGUGCUUAAUACAUGCAAGUCGAGCGAUGAACCCAGCUGAUUACCUUCGGGUAUGAAGUUGGGGGAAGAGCGGCGGAUGGGUGAGUAACGCGUGGGUACCUGCCCUAAAGUUUGGGAUAACAACCCGAAAGGGUUGCUAAUACCGAAUGUGACCGAGAGGUUAAAGGUGUAAACCGCUUUAGGAUGGGCCCGCGUCCCAUUAGCUAGUUGGUGGGGUAAUGGCCUACCAAGGCUGCGAUGGGUAGCCGGCCUGAGAGGGUGGACGGCCACACUGGGACUGAGACACGGCCCAGACUCCUACGGGAGGCAGCAGUAGGGAAUUUUCCGCAAUGGACGGAAGUCUGACGGAGCGACGCCGCGUGGGGGAAGAAGGCCUUCGGGUUGUAAACCUCUGUCUUCAGGGACGAAGAGGGUGUGGGAGGACACACCGAAGCCGGUACCUGAGGAGGAAGCCCCGGCUAACUACGUG